UCGAAUAGGGUUUAACAGCGGCGAUUUCUUUUUGCAUUCCGAGAGUUUUAGAAAUGGAUUUGGAUGUUAGAGUUGGAAAGGAUGACCUUCAGGUACGGAAAGGUUUUUUGGCUUAACAUUGAGUGCUAUUCGGUCAAAGUGGAUUGUGCGCUUUACUUUCAAGAUGACUCAAGCUCCCACUGAGGACAUGCCAAUGAUAGCGGUGAGAAACGAAGAAGUGGAAAAGCAAUUCACUCCUGAAGAAAUAUCUUCAUUCAUUAUUGAGGGUCUCAAGAAGAUGGCCGAGGAGACCCUUGGGUGCAGCACCGUGGAUGCUAUUUGUACUGUCCCCAACCACUUCAAGAAGCCCGAGGUGGAACGUAUGAUGGAUGCAAUGGCACUUGCAGAUCUGAAAGUUCUUAAGGCCUACCCUGAAGCUGUUGCAGUUUCCUAUGCUUGUGGAUUUGAGGAGUCGUCCCGAAGCCUGUCACGAAAAAUGUGCUGAUCUUUGAUGUUGGUGGGACGACAUCAAAGGUGAUUUUGCUCACAGUGGGGAAGAAUAAGAUGGUGGACUACAAAAAUACUGUUGUACAGGAUAUGGGUGGUGAAAGCUUCGACAAAAUUAUGGUGUUCUACCUUUAGGAUGAGUUCAAGAAGAGGCAUGGUGCUGUCCACGUGGAAUGGAAUGCGUUCAGGCGACUACUACUCCCAUGUGAGAUUUUGCUGUGGCCCUCGUUGAGGUGGAAUCCUUUGUAGAUGGAAUCGAUUUAAGCUCUUCCAUCACACGAACCAAAUUGAAGAGUUUAAGCGGAAUAAUUUUCAGUGUUUGGUUGACAUGGUCGACACAUAUUUGAAGAGCCUUAAAAUGGACAAAAGAAUUGUGCAUGAAGUUGUUCUUCAAUGCUCAAAUAUUCCAAAAAUUCAAGAGUUGUUGCAGGCUUACUUCGAGGGGAAGGAGUUGUCUGAUUAAACCUGAAGAGGUUGUAGCUAAUGGUGUGGUAAUGAUAGAUUCUAAUAAGAAGGGGAAAGAUGUUGGACAAGGGGAAAGAUGUUGGACAUCAACCGACCCAGUUACAAUGGGUCGGUUUUCAGCUUUGGAGAACCAGGUGAGAGCACUCCAAGAUACUGUAAGUUGGAUGAAAGAGAGACCGAACAAAGACGGGAAGUCUUCACUCGCUGGAAAUGAUGUUCACCGCUAUGGGAUUGGGAGGGCAAUUUUGGGAUUUUUAAAAACAUUUUGGUAAAAAUUGACUAUUUUGCACCAAAAAAAUAGUAGGGAGGUAUUUUUUGCACCUUUUGUAUAUAUAUAUAGUAGGGGUGUUUUUUGCGCUUUUUCCUUUUUAUUUUUUAAAUUUUUUAUUUAUUUUAUUUGUAUAAUUUUUUAUAGAAAAUUUAAUUUUAAUUAUUUUUUAGAAAUUAUUUUCUUUUUGUUAUUAAGUUUCUUUAUUUAUUUUCUUUUUGCUAUUAGGUUUGUUUAUUUUUUAGUUUACUUCUAUAUUAGGUUUUUUAUUCUCUACUUGUAAAUUUUUAUUGAAUUUUAAAAGAUUGUACACUUGGCUUUUGUCACGUGUGAUGAAUGCUUGUGCACCUGUUAUUUUACGAUUAUGAGAUUGAUGAAUGCUUGUGCGGUA
Molecule: long non-coding RNA, 1610 nt
Organism: Cornus florida
Lineage: Eukaryota; Viridiplantae; Streptophyta; Magnoliopsida; Cornales; Cornaceae
Exons: 2
Source: RefSeq, a predicted model, not a curated record